ACGCUGGCGGCAGGCCUAACACAUGCAAGUCGAGCGGAAACGACACCAUCGAUUCUUCGGAUGAUUUAAUGGGCGUCGAGCGGCGGACGGGUGAGUAAUGCCUAGGAAAUUGCCUUGAUGUGGGGGAUAACCAUUGGAAACGAUGGCUAAUACCGCAUAAUGCCUACGGGCCAAAGAGGGGGAYCUUCGGRCCUCUCGCGUCAAGAUAUGCCUAGGUGGGAUUAGCUAGUUGGUGAGGUAAUGGCUCACCAAGGCGACGAUCCCUAGCUGGUCUGAGAGGAUGAUCAGCCACACUGGAACUGAGACACGGUCCAGACUCCUACGGGAGGCAGCAGUGGGGAAUAUUGCACAAUGGGCGAAAGCCUGAUGCAGCCAUGCCGCGUGUAUGAAGAAGGCCUUCGGGUUGUAAAGUACUUUCAGUUGUGAGGAAGGGUGUGUAGUUAAUAGCUGCRYAUCUUGACGUUAGCAACAGAAGAAGCACCGGCUAACUCCGUGCCAGCAGCCGCGGUAAUACGGAGGGUGCGAGCGUUAAUCGGAAUUACUGGGCGUAAAGCGCAUGCAGGUGGUUCAUUAAGUCAGAUGUGAAAGCCCGGGGCUCAACCUCGGAACUGCAUUUGAAACUGGUGAACUAGAGUGCUGUAGAGGGGGGUAGAAUUUCAGGUGUAGCGGUGAAAUGCGUAGAGAUCUGAAGGAAUACCAGUGGCGAAGGCGGCCCCCUGGACA
Molecule: ribosomal RNA, 723 nt
Filed under: Vibrio sp. 1C04
Lineage: Bacteria; Pseudomonadati; Pseudomonadota; Gammaproteobacteria; Vibrionales; Vibrionaceae
Description: bacterial SSU rRNA
Rfam family: Bacterial small subunit ribosomal RNA
Source: RNAcentral